CCAGAGAACUUAGCAGAGAUGCUUUGGUGCCUUCGGGAACUCUGAGACAGGUGCUGCAUGGCUGUCGUCAGCUCGUGUUGUGAAAUGUUGGGUUAAGUCCCGCAACGAGCGCAACCCUUAUCCUUUGUUGCCAGCGGCUCGGCCGGGAACUCAAAGGAGACUGCCGGUGAUAAACCGGAGGAAGGUGGGGAUGACGUCAAGUCAUCAUGGCCCUUACGGCCAGGGCUACACACGUGCUACAAUGGCGCAUACAAAGAGAAGCGACCUCGCGAGAGCAAGCGGACCUCAUAAAGUGCGUCGUAGUCCGGAUUGGAGUCUGCAACUCGACUCCAUGAAGUCGGAAUCGCUAGUAAUCGUAGAUCAGAAUGCUACGGUGAAUACGUUCCCGGGCCUUGUACACACCGCCCGUCACACCAUGGGAGUGGGUUGCAAAAGAAGUAGGUAGCUUAACCUUCGGGAGGGCGCUUACCACUCUGUGAUUCAUGACUGGGGUGAAGUCGUAACAAGGUAAGCGUACGUGU
RNAcentral lists this ribosomal RNA (521 nucleotides) under uncultured bacterium. RNAcentral describes it as "bacterial SSU rRNA". It matches the Rfam family "Bacterial small subunit ribosomal RNA", at positions 988 to 1509 of the family's 1533-position model. The record is from RNAcentral.